UGCCAGCCGCCGCGGUAAUACGGAAGGUGCAAGCGUUAAUCGGAAUUACUGGGCGUAAAGAGCUCGUAGGCGGUUCAACAAGUCGGUCGUAAAAGUUUAGGGCUCAACCCUAAAAUGUCGAUCGAUACUGAUGUUCUUGAGUAUGGAUGAGGUGGUUGGAAUAUAACAUGUAGCGGUGAAAUGCUUAGAUAUGUUAUAGAACACCAAUUGCGAAGGCAGAUCACUAAACCAUUACUGACGCUGAGGUACGAAAGCGUGGGGAGCGAACAGGAUUAGAUA
This 279-nucleotide ribosomal RNA is filed under the name uncultured bacterium. RNAcentral describes it as "partial 16S ribosomal RNA". It matches the Rfam family "Bacterial small subunit ribosomal RNA", at positions 506 to 784 of the family's 1533-position model. The record is from RNAcentral.